GCCAGGCCUUGACCCCCAGGAGACAAGACUGGAUCUGCAGGCCCCUCUGUCCUCCAUUCCACAGAUGAGGAGACCAAGGGCUCAGAGAAGCCCUGCCCCAGGUCAGGAAACUGAAGCACCAUCAGGAAGCAGCCUUAAUGUCAUGGAGUCCACUGGACUGUGAAAGAUGCUUGGGUGAAUGGAAACAGCUGGAAAGGUGGACAGAAGAGAGGACAAGAGACCGACUGCCUUUUUGACAGCUCCUCUCUAGGCCCUUCCUAGAGAAGGCCAUUCAUCAGUGCUUCAUUUAUCAGGCCACUUGUCAAGGUCUGGGGAAACAUAGGCAACAGGAUGUGAGCGUGAGAUAUUAGACAAAGUCUCCUGCCCUGGCUUCCCCUUCACUUCCUCUGCCUCCUGACUGACCUUGGUGCUUCCCCACGCGGCCCUGCAUGGGAUUUCAUGCCUCCAGUAUCUGGGGAUCUGGUCAGAUGCAGGGUGGCUGCCGGCCCUGGUCGUUCACCGGAGGAUAAUCACCAUGAAGUGGUUACCAGCGCAUCGUGGACAAGCUGGGACGAGGGUGCCAUCUGCACAGCAUACUAACCUGUGAGUAUCUCUGGGAUAAUGAAUUGGAACAUGAAGAAGAAAGAGAGUGGAUGUUUGAUACAACUAGGAGAUAGGUCCCAGGCUCCUGCCAUUCACUGUAGAGGUCAGCAAGAGCAGGGUGAGCAC
Molecule: long non-coding RNA, 708 nt
Organism: Suricata suricatta (meerkat)
Lineage: Eukaryota; Metazoa; Chordata; Mammalia; Carnivora; Herpestidae
Exons: 7
Source: RefSeq, a predicted model, not a curated record